UGCCUGGUGUAGUGGUUUGAGUGUUGGACUAUGACUCUGGAGUUCAGGGUUCAAAUUCCUGCUUGGCCA
This is a non-coding RNA of Phrynosoma platyrhinos (Desert horned lizard), 69 nucleotides long. Lineage: Eukaryota; Metazoa; Chordata; Lepidosauria; Squamata; Phrynosomatidae. The record is from the annotation of a GenBank genome assembly.